Molecule: ribosomal RNA, 391 nt
Filed under: uncultured bacterium
Lineage: Bacteria
Description: bacterial SSU rRNA
Rfam family: Bacterial small subunit ribosomal RNA
Source: RNAcentral
GAUGAACGCUAGCGAUAGGCCUAACACAUGCAAGUCGAGGGGCAUCACAUGAAGUAGCAAUACGGAUGGUGGCGACCGGCGCACGGGUGAGUAACACGUAUGCAACCUGCCUUCAACAAGGGGAUAACCCGUUGAAAGACGGACUAAUACCCUAUAACACAGGGGUCCCGCGAUGGGAAUAUUUGUUAAAGGACAACCGGUUGAAGAUGGGCAUGCGUUCCAUUAGCUAGUUGGCGGGGUAACGGCCCACCAAGGCAACGAUGGAUAGGGGAACUGAGAGGUUUAUCCCCCACACUGGUACUGAGACACGGGACCAGACUCCUACGGGAGGCAGGCAGUGAGGAAUAUUGGUCAAUGGACGCAAGUCUGAACCAGCCACGUCGCGUGAAGG